UACGUAGGGUGCAAGCAUUAAUCGGAUUUAUUGGGCGUAAAGGGCGCGUAGGCGGAUUUGUAAGUCAGAUGUGAAAUUCUGGGGCUCAACCUCAGCACUGCAUUUGAGACUGUGAAUCUAGAGGAUAGGCGGAGAAAUUGGAAUUCCACAUGUAGCGGUGAAAUGCGUAGAUAUGUGGAAGAACACCGGUGGCGAAAGCGGAUUUCUAGCUUAUUCCUGACGCUGAGGCGCGAGAGCAAGGGGAGCAAACAGG
Molecule: ribosomal RNA, 253 nt
Filed under: uncultured bacterium
Lineage: Bacteria
Description: partial 16S ribosomal RNA
Rfam family: Bacterial small subunit ribosomal RNA
Source: RNAcentral